CUACGUGCCAGCAGCCGCGGUAAUACGGAAGGUUCGGGCGUUAUCCGGAUUUAUUGGGUUUAAAGGGAGCGUAGGCCGUGGAUUAAGCGUGUUGUGAAAUGUAGAUGCUCAACAUCUGACUUGCAGCGCGAACUGGUUUACUUGAGUGUGCGCAACGUAGGCGGAAUUCGUCGUGUAGCGGUGAAAUGCUUAGAUAUGACGAAGAACUCCGAUUGCGAAGGCAGCUUACGGGAGCACAACUGACGCUGAAGCUCGAAGGUGCGGGUAUCAAACAGGAUUAGAUACCCUGGUAGUCCGCACAGUAAACGAUGGAUGCCCGCUGUUGGUCCAUUAGGGUCAGCGGCCAAGCGAAAGCAUUAAGCAUCCCACCUGGGGAGUACGCCGGCAACGGUGAAACUCAAAGGAAUUGACGGGGGCCCGCACAAGCGGAGGAACAUGUGGUUUAAUUCGAUGAUACGCGAGGAACCUUACCCGGGCUUGAAUUGCAGACGAACGAUUCAGAGA
RNAcentral lists this ribosomal RNA (504 nucleotides) under uncultured bacterium. RNAcentral's name for it is "bacterial SSU rRNA". It matches the Rfam family "Bacterial small subunit ribosomal RNA", at positions 501 to 1006 of the family's 1533-position model. The record is from RNAcentral.